RNAcentral lists this ribosomal RNA (253 nucleotides) under uncultured bacterium. RNAcentral describes it as "partial 16S ribosomal RNA". It matches the Rfam family "Bacterial small subunit ribosomal RNA", at positions 524 to 776 of the family's 1533-position model. The record is from RNAcentral.
UACGUAGGGGGCAAGCGUUGUCCGGAAUCAUUGGGCGUAAAGAGCGUGUAGGCGGCUCGGUAAGUCCGCUGUGAAAGUCCAGGGCUCAACCCUGGAAUGCCGGUGGAAACUGUCGAGCUAGAGUCCGGAAGAGGCGAGUGGAAUUCCUGGUGUAGCGGUGAAAUGCGCAGAUAUCAGGAGGAACACCGGUGGCGAAGGCGGUUCUCUGGGCCUUACCUGACGCUGAGGAGCGAAAGCGUGGGGAGCAAACAGG